UUGAACGCUGGCGGCAUGCUUUACACAUGCAAGUCGAACGGCAGCGCGGGCUUCGGCCUGGCGGCGAGUGGCGAACGGGUGAGUAAUGCAUCGGAGCGUGCCCAGUAGUGGGGGAUAGCCCGGCGAAAGCCGGAUUAAUACCGCAUACGACCUGAGGGUGAAAGCGGGGGACCGAAAGGCCUCGCGCUAUUGGAGCGGCCGAUGUCGGAUUAGCUAGUUGGUGGGGUAAAGGCUUACCAAGGCGACGAUCCGUAGCUGGUCUGAGAGGACGACCAGCCACACUGGGACUGAGACACGGCCCAGACUCCUACGGGAGGCAGCAGUGGGGAAUUUUGGACAAUGGGGGCAACCCUGAUCCAGCCAUGCCGCGUGCGGGAAGAAGGCCUUCGGGUUGUAAACCGCUUUUGUUCGGGAAGAAAUCCUCUGGGCUAAUACCCCGGGGGGAUGACGGUACCGGAAGAAUAAGCACCGGCUAACUACGUG
Molecule: ribosomal RNA, 483 nt
Filed under: uncultured bacterium
Lineage: Bacteria
Description: partial 16S ribosomal RNA
Rfam family: Bacterial small subunit ribosomal RNA
Source: RNAcentral